Molecule: long non-coding RNA, 911 nt
Filed under: Glycine max (soybean)
Lineage: Eukaryota; Viridiplantae; Streptophyta; Magnoliopsida; Fabales; Fabaceae
Description: long non-coding RNA (GMAX_LNC000110)
Source: RNAcentral
UUCUAAGAACGGAUCUUUAAAGGUUUGGAUUUUGGUUGGUUAGUUAUCAUUUGCUGGAGGUUAGGUUUGGUUAAAAUUGGAUAAUUUUGAUAUAAUAAAUAUGUGUGUUUAAAUUUAUUUUAAUCAUAAAUUUUAUAUUAUAGUAAUAUACGUCAAGGACUAGCAUUAAGUUUCAUUAUGUUGUUUUCUUGCAAAAUAAUUGUAGUGAAGAAACAUUGAUGCUUGGUAAUAUGGUAUGAUGGUACCAUCCCCAUUCCCCGCCACAGCAAUUGUAUAUUUCUCAACAGCUUUACAUUCAGGGCAGGGGUCUUUAAUAAGCUGUAAGCUCGAAAACAAAGGAUAUGCAAUAAUAGUUAUUUUUUAAAUUAUUUCAACUUUGAAUGUACAUUGAGUAAAUCAUAUUUGAUAUGUAUCUAGUUUCUUUUUUGGAUAUAUAUUUCUUAUUGGGAAAUCAUUGUUAAUUUGUUAUUCAACUUACCAAAAGAUGGCACGAUAUGGCAAUGGCAUGGCCAGGGGAGGUUGAAUGGGGUACUUUUGUUAAACGUGGCUCUUAUAAAACAAGACUGUUAGGAGUGUGUAUUUUUUUUUUUUUAAAUAGUAACACCACUCACUCAAAUUCAAUACUCAUUUACCUGAACAAAAAUAUACCAAAUAAGAGAAGAUUUGGAUGUCACCCGCAGGCCAGAGCUGGUCGGUCUCUGCUUCAUCAGCCUAGCUAAUUAGGUAAAUUUUGUGUGGCUUGGAGUAUUAAUUUAUUUUUCUUUUUAACAUACAUACUUUGCUUUAUGUCCAUAAAUUGGUUUUGAUUCAUUGCCUACAUAAACUGCAACUAUAAUGAGCUUCCCCUUGGAAAAAGAAAAUUUUCUAGUAUUUUUUAAUAUCAUGUUUUUGUUGUAAAUUUCAAUUUCAAU